AAUGGUUUCGACUAACUUAUUCGAGCGGCCGAUAACUGAUUAGCUAGUUGGUGGGGUAAAGGCCUACCAAGGCGACGAUCAGUAGCGGGUCUGAGAGGACGAUCCGCCACACUGGGACUGAGACACGGCCCAGACUCCUACGGGAGGCAGCAGUGGGGAAUUUUGGACAAUGGGGGCAACCCUGAUCCAGCCAUGCCGCGUGUAUGAAGAAGGCCUUCGGGUUGUAAAGUACUUUUGUUAGGGAAGAAAAGGGAAGUGCUAAUACCACUUUUUGCUGACGGUACCUAAAGAAUAAGCACCGGCUAACUACGUGCCAGCAGCCGCGGUAAUACGUAGGGUGCGAGCGUUAAUCGGAAUUACUGGGCGUAAAGCGAGCGCAGACGGUUAUUUAAGCAGGAUGUGAAAUCCCCGGGCUUAACCUGGGAACUGCGUUCUGAACUGGAUGGCUAGAGUGUGUCAGAGGGGGGUAGAAUUCCACGUGUAGCAGUGAAAUGCGUAGAGAUGUGGAGGGAAUACCGAUGGCGAAGGCUGCCCCCUGGGAUAAACACUGACGUUCAUGCUUCAAAAAGCGUGG
This 574-nucleotide ribosomal RNA is filed under the name uncultured Eikenella sp. Its description in RNAcentral is "bacterial SSU rRNA". It matches the Rfam family "Bacterial small subunit ribosomal RNA", at positions 202 to 766 of the family's 1533-position model. The record is from RNAcentral. Lineage: Bacteria; Pseudomonadati; Pseudomonadota; Betaproteobacteria; Neisseriales; Neisseriaceae.